UAGGGAAUCUUCCGCAAUGGGCGAAAGCCUGACGGAGCAACGCCGCGUGAGUGAUGAAGGGUUUCGGCUCGUAAAACUCUGUUAUUAGGGAAGAACAAAUGUGUAAGUAACUGUGCACAUCUUGACGGUACCUAAUCAGAAAGCCACGGCUAACUACGUGCCAGCAGCCGCGGUAAUACGUAGGUGGCAAGCGUUAUCCGGAAUUAUUGGGCGUAAAGCGCGCGUAGGCGGUUUCUUAAGUCUGAUGUGAAAGCCCACGGCUCAACCGUGGAGGGUCAUUGGAAACUGGGAAACUUGAGUGCAGAAGAGGAAAGUGGAAUUCCAUGUGUAGCGGUGAAAUGCGCAGAGAUAUGGAGGAACACCAGUGGCGAAGGCGACUUUCUGGUCUAUAACUGACGCUGAUGUGCGAAAGCGUGGGGAUCAAACAGG
Molecule: ribosomal RNA, 429 nt
Filed under: Bacillota bacterium
Lineage: Bacteria; Bacillati; Bacillota
Description: Firmicutes bacterium partial 16S ribosomal RNA
Rfam family: Bacterial small subunit ribosomal RNA
Source: RNAcentral